This 274-nucleotide ribosomal RNA is filed under the name uncultured bacterium. RNAcentral's name for it is "partial 16S ribosomal RNA". It matches the Rfam family "Bacterial small subunit ribosomal RNA", at positions 523 to 796 of the family's 1533-position model. The record is from RNAcentral.
AUACGGAGGGUGCAAGCGUUAUCCGGAAUCAUUGGGUUCAAAGGGUCCGUAGGCGGACUAUUAAGUCAGAGGUGAAAUCCCACAGCUCAACUGUGGAACUGCCUUUGAUACUGGUAGUCUUGAGUUAUAUGGAAGUAGAUAGAAUGUGUAGUGUAGCGGUGAAAUGCAUAGAUAUUACACAGAAUACCGAUUGCGAAGGCAGUCUACUACGUAUAUACUGACGCUAAGGGACGAAAGCGUGGGGAGCGAACAGGAUUAGAAACCCUAGUAGUCC